RNAcentral lists this ribosomal RNA (597 nucleotides) under uncultured prokaryote. Its description in RNAcentral is "bacterial SSU rRNA". It matches the Rfam family "Bacterial small subunit ribosomal RNA", at positions 28 to 643 of the family's 1533-position model. The record is from RNAcentral.
GAUGAACGCUGACAGAAUGCUUAACACAUGCAAGUCGAUUCGAUUUACCUUCGGGUAUUGAGGAUGGCGGACGGGUGAGUAACGCGUAAGGAACUUGCCUCUUGGUCUGGGACAACUGUUGGAAACGACAGCUAAUACCGGAUAUUAUGAGAUUCUCGCAUGGGAAACUUAUGAAAGCUAUAUGCGCCAAGAGAGAGCCUUGCGUUCCAUUAGCUAGUUGGUGGGGUAACGGCCCACCAAGGCGACGAUGGAUAGCCGGCCUGAGAGGGUGAACGGCCACAAGGGGACUGAGACACGGCCCUUACUCCUACGGGAGGCAGCAGUGGGGAAUAUUGGACAAUGGGCCACAAGCCUGAUCCAGCAAUUCUGUGUGCACGAUGAAGGUCUUCGGAUUGUAAAGUGCUUUCAGUUGGGAAGAAGAAAGUGACGGUACCAACAGAAGAAGCGACGGCUAAAUACGUGCCAGCAGCCGCGGUAAUACGUAUGUCGCAAGCGUUAUCCGGAUUUAUUGGGCGUAAAGCGCGUCUAGGCGGAAAAAUAAGUCUGAUGUUAAAAUGCGGGGCUCAACUCCGUAUUGCNUUGGAAACUGUUUUUCCA